Non-coding RNA from Anopheles culicifacies, 47 nucleotides. Lineage: Eukaryota; Metazoa; Arthropoda; Insecta; Diptera; Culicidae. The record is from Rfam.
ACAACAGUCCUUUUCAGGACUACAGAAUGUAUUAACUAAAGAUAUUG